This 253-nucleotide ribosomal RNA is filed under the name uncultured bacterium. Its description in RNAcentral is "partial 16S ribosomal RNA". It matches the Rfam family "Bacterial small subunit ribosomal RNA", at positions 524 to 776 of the family's 1533-position model. The record is from RNAcentral.
UACAGAGGAGCCAAGCGUUGUCCGGAUUGACUGGGCGUAAAGCGCACGCAGGCGGAUGCGCGCGUGGGGUGUGAAAUCUGGCCGCUUAACGGCCAGGCGCCAUCACAUACGGCGCGUCUGGAGCCUUGCAGAGGUCGGUGGAAUUGCCGGUGUAGUGGUGAAAUGCGUAGAGAUCCGGAGGAACACCAGUGGCGAAGGCGACACGCUGGGCCGUACCUGACACUGAUGCGCGACAGCAUGGGGAGCAAACAGG